RNAcentral lists this ribosomal RNA (253 nucleotides) under uncultured bacterium. RNAcentral describes it as "partial 16S ribosomal RNA". It matches the Rfam family "Bacterial small subunit ribosomal RNA", at positions 524 to 776 of the family's 1533-position model. The record is from RNAcentral.
UACAGAGGUCCCGAGCGUUGUUCGGAUUCAUUGGGCGUAAAGGGUGCGUAGGUGGCGCUGUAAGUGGGGUGUGAAAUCCCGGGGCUUAACCCCGGGACUGCAUUCCAUACUGCGGUGCUUGAGGACUGGAGAGGAGACUGGAAUUUACGGUGUAGCAGUGAAAUGCGUAGAGAUCAUAAGGAAGACCAGUGGCGAAGGCGGGUCUCUGGACAGUUCCUGACACUGAGGCACGAAGGCCAGGGGAGCAAACGGG